UACGUAGGGUGCAAGCGUUAAUCGGAAUUACUGGGCGUAAAGCGUGCGCAGGCGGUUUUGUAAGACUGUCGUGAAAUCCCCGGGCUUAACCUGGGAAUGGCGAUGGUGACUGCAAGGCUAGAGUUUGGCAGAGGGGGGUAGAAUUCCACGUGUAGCAGUGAAAUGCGUAGGUAUGUGGAGGAACACCGAUGGCGAAGGCAGCCCCCUGGGUCAAAACUGACGCUCAUGCACGAAAGCGUGGGGAGCAAACAGG
Molecule: ribosomal RNA, 253 nt
Filed under: uncultured bacterium
Lineage: Bacteria
Description: partial 16S ribosomal RNA
Rfam family: Bacterial small subunit ribosomal RNA
Source: RNAcentral